CCUACGGGUGGCUGCAGUGGGGAAUAUUGGACAAUGGGGGGAACCCUGAUCCAGCCAUGCCGCGUGUGUGAAGAAGGCCAUCGGGUUGUAAAGCACUUUCAGUGAGGAAGAACGCCUGGUGGUUAAUACCCAUCAGGAAAGACAUCACUCACAGAAGAAGCACCGGCUAACUCCGUGCCAGCAGCCGCGGUAAUACGGAGGGUGCGAGCGUUAAUCGGAAUUACUGGGCGUAAAGCGCGCGUAGGUGGCUUGAUAAGCCGGUUGUGAAAGCCCCGGGCUCAACCUGGGAACGGCAUCCGGAACUGUCAAGCUAGAGUGCAGGAGAGGAAGGUAGAAUUCCCGGUGUAGCGGUGAAAUGCGUAGAGAUCGGGAGGAAUACCAGUGGCGAAGGCGGCCUUCUGGACUGACACUGACACUGAGGUGCGAAAGCGUGGGUAGCAAACAGGAUUAGAUACCCUUGUAGUC
This 465-nucleotide ribosomal RNA is filed under the name Vreelandella stevensii. Its description in RNAcentral is "partial 16S ribosomal RNA". It matches the Rfam family "Bacterial small subunit ribosomal RNA", at positions 338 to 795 of the family's 1533-position model. Lineage: Bacteria; Pseudomonadati; Pseudomonadota; Gammaproteobacteria; Oceanospirillales; Halomonadaceae. The record is from RNAcentral.